GGGGCCGGCGCCGGGAGCCGCCCCAGCGACGAGGCCGCCUGAGCCGCGGCCUCGCUUUCGGGGGGGGGGGGUGAUGGAAAGAGGCAAUGGCGGCGGCUACCAGAAGCCGGGCAGGGCUCGGGCCCGUCCCCCCCCCCCCCCGCAGCCCUCCCGCGCGGGAAAGCGCGACCACGGCCUCGUGCGCCCUCGGCCUCGCCGCCUCCACAUGCCGUGUGGCGUGGGCGGCCGGCAGCCUGCCUCGCCCCGCCGCCCUGGGCCUUCUCCUGUGCUCGAAAUAUACCUUGCGCCGCCUUCCACACCCAACCCGGUACUGAUAGAUGAGGAAGCAUUUCACAUUAAGUUUUACCGUUUAUACAUGGGAGUGGACUCAGAGCACUGUUCUCAUGGCAUUUGUUUCUGAUCUAGUAAUGCCCAGUUCCUCAAGACUAACAAAGGCCAAAGGAAGUCAUGCAGAGAAAAUACUUUGAAUAUCACAAUUGUUACCUAUAUUUUUAGCCUAUCUCUAUGAAAAGCUAUUUCUGAGUUGGAUGCUGGAUCUUAUAAAAUAACUGGUGUUUCUUGCACAAUUUAUAAAGAACUGCCACAGACCUAAACGUGUUAUGGCUCGCAGGAAAGCCACUGUAAUUUGAAGGAAUGUGCUAAUUAAGAAAUAUAAUGCAAAUGUGAAUUCAGAGAUGCACCGUCCCAGAUGGUCAAGGAGGAAAAGACAGCCCUAGAGUGGCAGGUUGGGAAGCUAAAUCCCCCUCCACAAGGUAGCAGAGGCACAAAAAAGACUAAGGGCAAUCUUUAUUCUUAUGUAUGAUCUAAAAUUUGCAUUUCUUUUCUUCUUCUUUUUUUUUUUUUAUUUUUUUUUUUAAUUUUUAGCCCUGUGUGAUAACUGACAAAUUAGGAAGAAAAAAAAAUCUUCAUGCUUUCUUUAGGAGAUUUGAAUUUGUCACUUUGGGUUCGUUUCAUGAUCAAAAAUAAACCAUUUAACUUGGUAGUCGUGAAUGACUCUAAAGAACAUGUGGUUGAUUACAAAGCAACUCUCUGGGCUUCAGUAGGGCUGGUUUUUUUCACUUUUUUCCAGUACAUCCAUUUGGUCAGGAUGGGCUUGUGAGUCAAGCAGCCUUUUGUCACAGAUUUUGGACAUGUAAUACAGUCGUAAGCGAUGCCCAGUUGCAUCUGAGAUUUUCACUUCUAAUUUUUCCUCCUGCUUAGUGUUGUUUGUGAUUGCUUUUUAGCUGGGGGAGACUAAUUCUUUUUGGUGAUAGUUGUGUCAGAGGGUGUGUAUGUGUGAGUAUGUAUGUAGGCCGGCUGGCUGGCAAAUAUUCUGAGAUGCAUUUUAUUUAUA
Long non-coding RNA from Rhea pennata, 1333 nucleotides. RefSeq lists it as uncharacterized. The transcript is spliced from 4 exons. Lineage: Eukaryota; Metazoa; Chordata; Aves; Rheiformes; Rheidae. The record is from RefSeq and is a predicted model, not a curated record.